RNAcentral lists this ribosomal RNA (253 nucleotides) under uncultured bacterium. RNAcentral's name for it is "partial 16S ribosomal RNA". It matches the Rfam family "Bacterial small subunit ribosomal RNA", at positions 524 to 776 of the family's 1533-position model. The record is from RNAcentral.
UACGAAGGGUGCAAACGUUGCUCGGAAUUAUUGGGCGUAAAGCGCACGUAGGCGGCUUAGCAAGUCGGAUGUGAAAGCCCUCGGCUCAACCAAGGAAGUGCAUCCGAAACUGCUGAGCUUGAGUACUUAAGAGGAUCGCGGAAUUCCCGGUGUAGAGGUGAAAUUCGUAGAUAUCGGGAGGAGCACCAGUGGCGAAGGCGGCGAUCUGGGAAGAUACUGACGCUGAGGUGCGAAAGCGUGGGGAGCAAACAGG